UUUCUUUUUUAUCAAAAUUAGUUAUAAUAAGUAUCUAAAUAAUAUAUUCUAUAAAAUCCUAACUAACUCGCUUUUCUAAUUAAAUUAUCCAAAACCUUUUAACUAGAUUAUCAAAACCAUACACACUAACUUUUAUAACAAUUAUAUAAUAGGUUUAAACCCUUUUUUGGUCCCUAAGUUAAGUUCUGAUGUUCAGUUUAGUCCCCGCUUUUAAAAAUGUCAACCUUUAGUCCCU
RNAcentral lists this long non-coding RNA (235 nucleotides) under Vigna radiata. RNAcentral's name for it is "long non-coding RNA (VRAD_LNC005944)". The record is from RNAcentral. Lineage: Eukaryota; Viridiplantae; Streptophyta; Magnoliopsida; Fabales; Fabaceae.